UUUUAUAGUUAUUGUGUUGUUUAACUUUCUUAUAAAAGAGAGUGAGGAAUUAAAAAGGUGGCCACCGAACAGAAAGUUAAACUGCAAUAUAUUAUAAUCAUUUUAGUUCUUGUUUACAUUUUUAACUGAUAAUUUAUUAGUGAUAAAUUAUGAAUAUAAAAUUUCAAAUUAAUUUAAAUUCAAAAAUAAAAGAACACCAACAUAGAUUUCUUAAACAUUAAAAUUUUACUAUAAGUUUAAAUUACAUUUAAUCAGCACAUUAGUUGAAGUUUUAUAGGAACCGAACAUUUGGCUGGAUCAUGGACUACCCACCGACGGAGAAUUUGUCACAAAGCUGAUGGGAAAUGUGUCGGCACUCGGAUUCGUUUCAACCCGGAGGAAGAUUUGCAGCAUCAAAAAGAAAUUCAACUGAUAAUCAACCGUCAAAAGGUGAAGAAGAAGUUGUCACAAAGCUGAUGGGAAAUGUGUCGGCACUCGGAUUCGUUUCAACCCGGAGGAAGAUUUGCAGCAUCAAAAAGAAAUUCAACUGAUAAUCAACCGUCAAAAGGUGAAGAAGAAGUUGUCACAAAGCUGAUGGGAAAUGUGUCGGCACUCGGAUUCGUUUCAACCCGGAGGAAGAUUUGCAGCAUCAAAAAGAAAUUCAACUGAUAAUCAACCGUCAAAAGGUGAAGAAGAAGUUGUCACAAAGCUGAUGGGAAAUGUGUCGGCACUCGGCUUCGUUUCAACCCGGAGGAAGAUUGGCAGCAUCAAUAAGAAGCUCAUCUUAAUUUAGUUGUCCCCCCUUUACGCAUUAGCGCUCAUCUCUCAUCCACUCAUCCAACACAUUGACUAUCGCCGGCCGGCAACACACACAUAUUAUACACAUUACCCGUUUUAUAUUGUAUAAAAUUAUUAAUAUCUACAUAGUUUAAGUUAUUGUAUAUUUUUUUUUUAUUAUUUGAAUGCAUUCAUAUGAUCUGUGGCGUAUUUAGGAAUUUUAGGAUAAGGGCAACACAUAUUUUGCCGCCUCCCCUCUAUUAAAAAAAAUUAAAAAACUUCUAUGCCACGCAAUGGUGAAACUGAUAAUACCAUAGAAUACCAUGUUAUAUAAAUACUAUAGUAUUUUAUACCUCCAUGGCACACAUUUGUUGUGAAAAAUAUUUAUGAUUGACGUCACUGCGACAGUACUCAUAAAGUACGAAAUUAAAAUUUGCUGCCCCUCUAAAUCUUUAAAAAUUUGCCGUUCUGGACAACUGGACCCAAAGCCCCUACCUAAAUACGCCCCUGCAUAUAAUGCGUUCGAUGUGGAUUAGGCCUACUGGGGACACCACAAUAAAAAAACGCGCCUUGUGUAAUACCUCAUAAGGUUAUUAAACAAUACGGACAAUGUUAUUGUACGUCGUUUAAUAAUAAAGGUGGUGUGGAAAAUUA
Rhopalosiphum padi (bird cherry-oat aphid) is the source of this 1410-nucleotide long non-coding RNA. RefSeq lists it as uncharacterized. NCBI's taxonomy places the organism in Eukaryota, Metazoa, Arthropoda, Insecta, Hemiptera, Aphididae. The transcript has 4 exons. The record is from RefSeq and is a predicted model, not a curated record.